This is a long non-coding RNA of Eucalyptus grandis, 1167 nucleotides long. RefSeq lists it as uncharacterized. The record is from RefSeq and is a predicted model, not a curated record. NCBI's taxonomy places the organism in Eukaryota, Viridiplantae, Streptophyta, Magnoliopsida, Myrtales, Myrtaceae. The transcript is spliced from 2 exons.
AGAAAAAGGAGGAGAGAGAGAAAUUGAGAGCAGAGAGCUCUCGCUCAGAGAAAGGAAGAGGCAGAGAAGAAGAAGAAGAGGAGAAAAGAAAAGGAGGGGCUUCGCGCGUUCUCGUCAUGAGAGCCUCCCCAAGCCGCAUUAACUACGUAACGCAAUGCCCGGGAUCCGAGUGCGUUGGUUCGAGUGAGCGUCGUAGUUGAUUUUCGACUUUCCCAGGUGAGUGGUGCUAUCUCUUCUAAGAAUUUAUAAGCUCAUGUCUUCAAAAUGAUAAAUGAUUGAUAUUUUAUGAGUUAUGAAUAAGCAUAUUUGUUGCAUAAAAUCUGGAUCGGGCAUUUACUGCACUUUGAUAUUUAAGAAUAGCAUAAUAACUUUUUGGUGGAAAUAUAUAUUCUGUUUGAUGAAUGGAAUUGAGAAAUAUUACAUGUUUUGAGUUUGUGAAACAUUUUUAUGAAGAUCUCGGCUUUGAGAUGAUUUAUGGAAGGCUAUAUGAGUAUUGAUUUGUGAUGAGCUUUUUUUGAAAUGUAUUUGAUUUGAAAUGGAUUUAUGAGAUGAGUCUUGAAAAUUAUUUAAGAAUAUUUUAUGAAAUGUAUUUUUGGUGGAUGAGCUGAGUUGCAAAACCUUUUGGAGAUAUAUGAAAUGAUUUAUGGAUUUGGUUUGAGAAUUAUGGAUUGUGUUGUUUUGGAUUGAUGUGGAUGCUCAAUAUCGCUGUAAGCCCAGCGAGGGGCUUGUGGGUAUGCGCAUACUAUUCUAGGAUAUCUUUGUGGGCCGAGCCACCGGCUAAUAAUAGAUGGAGACCUUGCCAAUGGGGGAAUCUUGAUCGCCUCGUCACUAGGCGUUGUAUUGUGACCAUGGUUUGAUAUUGAGCAACGGAUUGGUCAAUGGUCGAGUGGACCAUUGACAUGUGAUAUGAGAUGAGUUGAUGGAAUUGACCAUCAACGUGUAAUUUGAGAUUAGUCGAUGGAAUGGACCAUCGAUGUGUAAUUUGAGAUUAGUCGUUGGAAUGGACCAUCGACGUGUAAUUUGAGAUUGGUCGUUGGAAUUGACCAUCGACGUGUAAUUUGAGAUUAGUCGUUGGAAUUGACCAUCGACAUAUAAUUUCAUUUGAUUAUCAAUGUGCGGUUUGAUGAGAUUAAUCAAUGGAAUAGACCAUUGAUGCAUGUUUUAUGA